UAUAAUGACACAAUGCGAAGGUUUUCCAAUUUUUUGAUUUUUUUUGAAUUUUUUAUGCCCGUUUCAAAAUGCGGUCAAAACGGCGGGAAUGACCGUUCCUAGGUAGUGGUUGAAUCUUGGAAUUUUUUUGGUGUUUCUAUGAUUAAAUAGAUACUUAUGUACCUAGAAAUGAUUUUUGGAAAAAAUAAAGAGCAAACUAUGAGGCAGCUACAGUUCAAAUUUGACCCGUUUCCAACUGAAUCGAUGGCAAUUUGUGUUUUUCACGAGAGGUGGAUCAAAACUUUUUUCACCCAACCAUUUGGUCUAUUGUGCAUUAUUUAUGUCCUAGUAUUUUAUAAAAUUGAUUUGGUCCAUUUGUGCAACAAUUAUUUGGUAGGUCCUUCACAAAAAAACCUCCUUUCGGGCACUCGAAAAAUGGAAAAUGAAUUUUCCGUGCAAAGAAAAUGAAAACUUCUUUAGGCAACAUUGUUUGGAAUUCAAAUAUUCACCCUUGUGCACAAUAUAAGAUCAUUUGAACAAACUAUGCCAUGAAUGUGGCCAUAAGAUUGAUCAUUUGGCUUGAAAGCCAUGAAUCUUCAUACUUGAUAGCUCAUUUCUGAGAACACUUUUCUAAAAUAAUUUCCGUAUUACAAGUUUAUUAUUUUUCCUGGAAACUUGGUCACAUAUAAUGACACAAUGCGAAGGUUUUCCAAUUUUUUAUUUUUUUUGAAUUUUUUAUGCCCGUUUCAAAAUGCGGUCAAAACGACGGGAAUGACCGUUCCUAGGUAGUGGUUGAAUCUUGGAAUUUUUUGGUGUUUCUAUGAUUAAAUAGAUACUUAUGUACCUAGAAAUGAUUUUUGGAAAAAAUAAAGAGCAAACUAUGAGGCAGCUACAGUUCAAAUUUGACCCGUUUCU
RNAcentral lists this long non-coding RNA (894 nucleotides) under Triticum aestivum (bread wheat). Its description in RNAcentral is "long non-coding RNA (TAES_LNC007765)". Lineage: Eukaryota; Viridiplantae; Streptophyta; Magnoliopsida; Poales; Poaceae. The record is from RNAcentral.